Molecule: ribosomal RNA, 80 nt
Filed under: Vibrio cholerae O1 str. PCS-023
Lineage: Bacteria; Pseudomonadati; Pseudomonadota; Gammaproteobacteria; Vibrionales; Vibrionaceae
Also listed under: 2 other names
Source: RNAcentral
UCCCGAACUCAGAAGUGAAACGAAACAGCGUCGAUGGUAGUGUGGGGUCUCCCCAUGUGAGAGUAGAACAUCGCCAGGCU